RNAcentral lists this ribosomal RNA (497 nucleotides) under uncultured bacterium. RNAcentral describes it as "partial 16S ribosomal RNA". It matches the Rfam family "Bacterial small subunit ribosomal RNA", at positions 28 to 507 of the family's 1533-position model. The record is from RNAcentral.
GAUGAACGCUGGCGGCGUGCCUAAUACAUGCAAGUCGAGCGAACAGACGAGGAGCUUGCUCCUCUGACGUUAGCGGCGAACGGGUGAGUAACACGUGGAUAACCUACCUCUAAGACUGGGAUAACCUCGGGAAACCGGAGCUAAUACCGGAUAAUAUAUGGAACCGCAUGGUCCACUAGUGAAAGACAGUUUUGCUGUCAAUUAUAGAUGGAUCCGCCCCGCAUUAGCUAGUUGGUCAGGUAACGGCUUCCCAAGGCAGCGAUGCGUAGCCGACCUGAGAGGCUGGUCGCCCGCACUGGAACGGGGACACGGACCAGGCUCCUACGGGACGCAGCAGUAGGGAAUCGGACGCAAUGGGCGAAAGCCUGACGGAGCAACGCCGCGUGAGAGAUAAAGACCUUGGGAGAGUAAAGCCCGGUUAUUGGGGAUGAACAAAUGUGUGCAUAGAUGAGGACGUAUUGACGGUACCUAAACAGAAAGCCACGGCUAACUACGUG